Molecule: ribosomal RNA, 109 nt
Filed under: Pteropus alecto (black flying fox)
Lineage: Eukaryota; Metazoa; Chordata; Mammalia; Chiroptera; Pteropodidae
Source: RNAcentral
CACAAUAACAAUAAUAAUAAAAAAUUUCUCUGAUCUCAGAAGCUAAGCAGGUUCAGGCCUGGUUAGUACUUGGAUGGAAGACCAUCUAGGAAUCCAGGUGCUGUAGGCA